CGCACUGCACUAUCCGGACGACACCCCCGUGAUAGUAUGCCCCAUUGAGCGUUAUUUGUCUUUCGAACAUUGCAUUCAUUUUGUGAUGGACGAGUUCGAGGCUCACAUCCUUUUCGAUGCGUUCCUUGAGAUGCAUGAGGGCCCUUCGGAGGGUUGCCCAUCCUGUGAUGAUUUUGCAGGCCGAGGCACUUUCAAAUGAGGAGCUCUGACAAUCGCCAUCAGGCAAAACCUCGCACUUUUGUGCUCACACUUCGUACAUAACCUCAGUGGGGUAGGAUUACCCGCUAGACUUAAGCAUAUUAAUCAGCGGAGGAAAAGAAACUAACAAGGAUUCCCCCAGUAACUGCGAGUGAAGAGGGAAGAGC
This 365-nucleotide unclassified non-coding RNA is filed under the name Sporisorium lepturi. RNAcentral's name for it is "partial contains 5.8S ribosomal RNA, internal transcribed spacer 2, and large subunit ribosomal RNA". The stretch from base 258 to 365 matches the Rfam family "Eukaryotic large subunit ribosomal RNA", at positions 1 to 108 of the family's 3401-position model. The record is from RNAcentral. Lineage: Eukaryota; Fungi; Basidiomycota; Ustilaginomycetes; Ustilaginales; Ustilaginaceae.